GUCACAAGAGAAAGCGUUUUUGGAUGUUGAACUGCCACGUUUUCCUCUAGGAUCUGACGACGAACUUGAAGAUUUCAGCACUAAACUGUCUGACACAAACAUAAAGGGGAGGCUGGUUGCUAUGAUAUCACGCUUGGGGGGCAACAGUCUCCAGGAGAGUGUGAGGAUUACCAUGUAUCGACUCAUCCGCAAUUCCGUCGCGCUGCAGUAUAGCCUGAAAGGAGCGCACUCCAAGAAAGAUUUUUCAUCCCUUGCUCUCUGCUCAUGCAUUGUUGAAGUAUUGUUGGCAAGGUGCAAGGACGUUAC
Ornithodoros turicata is the source of this 306-nucleotide long non-coding RNA. RefSeq lists it as uncharacterized. NCBI's taxonomy places the organism in Eukaryota, Metazoa, Arthropoda, Arachnida, Ixodida, Argasidae. The record is from RefSeq and is a predicted model, not a curated record. The transcript is spliced from 3 exons.